This is a long non-coding RNA of Myotis lucifugus (little brown bat), 735 nucleotides long. RefSeq lists it as uncharacterized. The record is from RefSeq and is a predicted model, not a curated record. The transcript is spliced from 3 exons. NCBI's taxonomy places the organism in Eukaryota, Metazoa, Chordata, Mammalia, Chiroptera, Vespertilionidae.
CUGGGCACAGCACCUAGUAGGUGGUGAGUAUGAAACUACAAGUGAAAGAGGCACCGGAAGAUACCGGUGUCUGGCUCUGGACACACACAGGGGCAGGGACCAGGAGUCAACUGGGGACAACCUUGCCCUUUCUUAUCAUCAGGAGGGACACCACCCUCUCGGUUCUCUUCUCUCUUCUCAAUCUCUGCCUGGUUUCCUCUGCCACCCAUGCCAACUGAACCCACCGAGAAAGCACUUCAAGAAAAGGCAGGAGUCCCAGAAAAUGACAGCUUUAGACUGACUUCAAGAACGUUCCCUUGAACGUUAUUUCAGGUGGAUGCAGCCCCAGGUGGAUGCAGCUGAAUGAGGGACCCCAGCACCUGCAAUGGACCAACCUCCCAGAGUCCUGUGGGAGCGGCUGCCUCCAGAUCUUGUUUCUCCUUUGAUCACUGUCCAAAGAGAUGUAUGGAGAAAAUAACGAAGUAAACGGUCCAGCCCCUAGGCUUGGCCUGAGUCCCGAGGAAGUCAGCUGGGCUGGACGGCUCGUGAGCCUCUGCUACAGACCAGAGUGACCCGGCUCGCCUAUAAAGAGCCAAGUGACACGAACUCAAACGCCAAGAGGCAAUAGAUCUAAGGAAUCUGUCUUUUCAUUGUUAUAAAAAAACAAACACCUGGGAAAAUGCUGCACACAAUGAAACAAUAUACUUUGAGGGGAACUCAUAAAGUCUUUACGAUGUUGCAUUUUGUGCUAUAGGG